Molecule: ribozyme, 76 nt
Filed under: Crocodylus porosus (Australian saltwater crocodile)
Lineage: Eukaryota; Metazoa; Chordata; Crocodylia; Crocodylidae
Description: Mammalian CPEB3 ribozyme (ENSCPRG00005001041.1)
Rfam family: Mammalian CPEB3 ribozyme
About the family: The mammalian CPEB3 ribozyme is a self cleaving RNA located in the second intron of the CPEB3 gene which belongs to a family of genes regulating messenger RNA polyadenylation. This ribozyme is highly conserved and found only in mammals.
Source: Rfam by way of RNAcentral
AUAACUCUUUGUUGGCCAUAGCAGAAGCGCUCACAUCACAGCCCUGUCAGAUUCCAAUGGAUCUGUGAACUCUGCU